AUAUGGUAGCUUGAGUUUGUGAAACCUGCAUUUCCAUUUGUUCCUAGUAGGUUUUGUGGGAAAAGACCAUUUAAUACACUUAAAAUAACAAAGGUAAUUUCAAGCCAAUAAUUUGGAUUGUGAUUUAGGUAAUUAUGAAAAACUUUAGCUUUAAAACUCUUAUGGUUGUGCAUGCUUAUAUACCAAAACUGAAGUAUCUUUAAAAGACAUAUGUAUCAGCUUAAAUGUUAGAAUUUAACUUCAGUUAAGAGGGAGAGUUAACAACACUUCUGGUAUAUGCUGUGUUUACCUUAUUUUGGGAAUUAUCUUUGGUACAGCAGCCAUUAAAAAUAAUGAAGUUUGGGUAUAUUCAUGGUGGAUUAAGAUUUGUAAAAUAUGAGACACCAAACUAAGUAGGCAAUGUUUUGAUUUGGACUUCGUAUUUUAAUAGAUAAAGUCAGACCUAAAGCCAAAAGGAAAGAAGAACCAAGCUCUAUUUUUCAGAGACAACGUGUGGAUGCUUUACUUUUAGACCUCAGACAAAAAUUUCCACCCAAAUUUGUGCAGCUAAAGCCUGGAGAAAAGCCUGUUCCAGUGGAUCAGACAAAGAAAGAGGCAGAACCUGUACCAGAAACUGUAAAACCUGAGGAGAAGGAGACCACAAAGAAUGUACAACAGACAGUGAGUGCUAAAGGCCCCCCUGAAAAACGGAUGAGACUUCAGUGAGUACUGGACAAAAGAGAAGCCUGGAAGACUCCUCAUGCUAGUUAUCAUACCUCAGUACUGUGGCUCUUGAGCUUUGAAGUACUUUAUUGUAACCUUCUUAUUUGUAUGGAAUGUGCUUAUUUUUUGAAAGGAUAUUAGGCCGGGUGCG
Molecule: small RNA, 853 nt
Filed under: Pongo abelii (Sumatran orangutan)
Lineage: Eukaryota; Metazoa; Chordata; Mammalia; Primates; Hominidae
Description: retained intron
Source: RNAcentral